UACGUAGGGUGCAAGCGUUGUCCGGAAUUAUUGGGCGUAAAGAGCUCGUAGGCGGUUCGUCGCGUCGGCUGUGAAAUCCCGGAGCUCAACUCCGGGUCUGCAGUCGAUACGGGCGGACUCGAGUUCGGCAGGGGAGACUGGAAUUCCUGGUGUAGCGGUGAAAUGCGCAGAUAUCAGGAGGAACACCGGUGGCGAAGGCGGGUCUCUGGGCCAAUACUGACGCUGAGGAGCGAAAGCGUGGGGAGCGAACAGG
RNAcentral lists this ribosomal RNA (253 nucleotides) under uncultured bacterium. RNAcentral's name for it is "partial 16S ribosomal RNA". It matches the Rfam family "Bacterial small subunit ribosomal RNA", at positions 524 to 776 of the family's 1533-position model. The record is from RNAcentral.